RNAcentral lists this ribosomal RNA (351 nucleotides) under Stutzerimonas stutzeri. Its description in RNAcentral is "bacterial SSU rRNA". It matches the Rfam family "Bacterial small subunit ribosomal RNA", at positions 1 to 354 of the family's 1533-position model. Lineage: Bacteria; Pseudomonadati; Pseudomonadota; Gammaproteobacteria; Pseudomonadales; Pseudomonadaceae. The record is from RNAcentral.
GAACUGAAGAGUUUGAUCAUGGCUCAGAUUGAACGCUGGCGGCAGGCCUAACACAUGCAAGUCGAGCGGAUGAUUGGAGCUUGCUCCAUGAUUCAGCGGCGGACGGGUGAGUAAUGCCUAGGAAUCUGCCUGGUAGUGGGGGACAACGUUUCGAAAGGAACGCUAAUACCGCAUACGUCCUACGGGAGAAAGUGGGGGAUCUUCGGACCUCGCGCUAUCAGAUGAGCCUAGGUCGGAUUAGCUAGUUGGUGAGGUAAAGGCUCACCAAGGCGACGAUCCGUAACUGGUCUGAGAGGAUGAUCAGUCACACUGGAACUGAGACACGGUCCAGACUCCUACGGGAGGCAGCAG